RNAcentral lists this ribosomal RNA (434 nucleotides) under Acanthamoeba sp. RNAcentral describes it as "partial small subunit ribosomal RNA". The record is from RNAcentral. Lineage: Eukaryota; Discosea; Longamoebia; Acanthamoebidae.
UGGGUUCAAGCGGGCAGAUUCAUUUUCGGCCCCGAAUACAUUAGCAUGGGAUAAUGGAAUAGGACCCUGUCCUCCUUUUUUCAGUUGGUUUUGGCACGGCGAGGGAAUAUGAGAGGAAUGAUAAGGGAGGUUGGGGGGCUUUAUUUUUAAUUUGUUGAAGGAGAAUUUCUUGAUUUUUUAAAGAAUUAUUUUCUGCAAAGCCUUCGGCCAGGAAGGUUUUCUUUAUCAAUAAAGAAAGUUAGGGGGACGAAAAAAAACCAAAACCCGCCGUAUCCUUACCAUUAACCAAGGCCGCCCACCAUUAAGAAAACUUCAAUUACAAAACCCCCCUUCUGUUAUUCUUCCUUGGGCUCAGUCCCGGUCAAUGACUCCCCGAGCAAAGUGAGAGAAAAUGACUCCCCCGGUGAAUGACUCCCCUAACAGCUUGGGAAAAA